Molecule: ribosomal RNA, 468 nt
Filed under: uncultured bacterium
Lineage: Bacteria
Description: partial 16S ribosomal RNA
Rfam family: Bacterial small subunit ribosomal RNA
Source: RNAcentral
GACGAACGCUGGCGGCGUGCUUAACACAUGCAAGUCGAACGGAAAGGCCCUGCUUUUGUGGGGUGCUCGAGUGGCGAACGGGUGAGUAACACGUGAGUAACCUGCCCUUGACUUUGGGAUAACUUCAGGAAACUGGGGCUAAUACCGGAUAGGAGCUCCUGCUGCAUGGUGGGGGUUGGAAAGUUUCGGCGGUUGGGGAUGGACUCGCGGCUUAUCAGCUUGUUGGUGGGGUAGUGGCUUACCAAGUCAUUGACGGGUAGGCGGCCUGGGAGGGUGACCGGCCACAUUGGGACUGAGGUACGGCCCAGACUCCUACGGGAGACAGCAGUGGGGAAUAUUGCACAAUGGGCGGAAGCCUGAUGCAGCAACGCCGCGUGCGGGAUGACGGCCUUCGGGUUGUAAACCGCUUUCGCCUGUGACGAAGCGUGAGUGACGGUAAUGGGUAAAGAAGCACCGGCUAACUACGUG